This 478-nucleotide ribosomal RNA is filed under the name uncultured bacterium. RNAcentral's name for it is "partial 16S ribosomal RNA". It matches the Rfam family "Bacterial small subunit ribosomal RNA", at positions 28 to 507 of the family's 1533-position model. The record is from RNAcentral.
GAUGAACGCUAGCGGCAGGCCUAACACAUGCAAGUCGAGGGAGAAGCCCUUUCGGGGGCCGAAACCGGCGCACGGGUGCGUAACGCGUAUGCAACCUACCUUUCACAGGGGGAUAGCCCGAAGAAAUUUGGAUUAAUACCCCAUAAUAUUAUUGGAUGGCAUCAUUUGAUAAUUAAAACUGCGGUGGUGAAAGAUGGGCAUGCGUCCUAUUAGCUAGUUGGAGUGGUAACGGCACCCCAAGGCUACGAUAGGUAGGGGUCCUGAGAGGGAGAUCCCCCACACUGGUACUGAGACAGGGACCAGACUCCUACGGGAGGCAGCAGUGAGGAAUAUUGGUCAAUGGUCGGAAGACUGAACCAGCCAUGCCGCGUGCAGGAAGAAUGCCUUAUGGGUUGUAAACUGCUUUUAGAUGGGAAGAAUAAGGUGUACGUGUACAUUGAUGACGGUACCAUAUGAAUAAGCAUCGGCUAACUCCGUG